Long non-coding RNA from Argiope bruennichi, 3472 nucleotides. RefSeq lists it as uncharacterized. The record is from RefSeq and is a predicted model, not a curated record. NCBI's taxonomy places the organism in Eukaryota, Metazoa, Arthropoda, Arachnida, Araneae, Araneidae. The transcript has 4 exons.
UUCCACUUCAUUCUUCUAUGACUGUAGAAAAACAAACCAAAGUUUUCCGAUAUGCCUCUCCUGAUCAGAGAAAGUUUCUGGAACAUUCCACUUCAUUCUUCUAUGACUGUAGAAAAACAAACCAAAGUUUUCCGAUAUGCCUCUCCUGAUCAGAGAAAGUUUCUGGAACAUACCAUUUCAUUCUUCUAUGACUGUAGAAAAACAAACCAAAGUUUUCCGAUAUGCCUCUCCUGAUCAGAGAAAGAUGAAAUAGAUGCAUGCAAAAGGGGGAUCUAUCACCUACUUCAUUUCAAGAAAUACCUAGGAAUCCUGAUGCAUCCACAGAAAAGGCUGAUGAUUCAUGCAGUAUUUCCUUCCAUCGAAAUCAGCAAGAUUCCAUUCCUUAUCUGUCAUCAGAUGUGACAAUGAAUUGACAAUGCAUAUUGUGACAAUUCUUGUGCAUUUCAAAAUAAAAUAUCCUCAUAUCCACCUGCAAACAAUAUAUAACUAACAAUACUCCUUCGUUAAGUAGAAAUUCUUCAACUGAAUCACCUGUAACAUACUGAAAAUGUUAUUCCUGAGGAAGUGGACUUUCUGAAUCAGGAAGAAGGAAUACCAACUAAAAAGAAAACAUUUUAUAUUAAAAAUACUUUAGAAAAGGGAAUGAAAGAUGUUCAACACAAAGUUUCCAGUGUUUCUUCUGUUCAAACGUAACAAAAAGAAGCACAGUAUACAGCAGUGAAUGGAACGUGUUCUUCUGUAUCUGAUGUUGACACAGAAGCAGUGUUUGAUAAAAGCGAAAAUACUGAAAGUGACAAAAGCUGUAAUUUCCAAAAGAAACAAAAAAUGGCAUAGAAAGAAAAAAAACUGUUACCGCACAAAACUCAAGAAUCUAUAGAUUCUCGCAUUGACACAUUUCUCUACAAUGUGAUAUGCUUAACAAGAAGUCAAAUAAAACAGAACUUUAAGCAUCAAACAGUCAUUUUUUUAAAGUGAUAUUAGUACUGAAACAGUUGUGAGUGAAAGUUAAAUAAAUGAAAACUCAUAGAAUGGUGCUUGUGUAAAGUACAGAAAAAAGCAGAUUUUUCUCACUCGAUGUCAGAUGAAGAGAAAAUAACAUCUGAUUUUUCAGUGUAUACGAAUAUUCACUACAAACUACAUAAUGCAAAGAUUCUAUACUAUACUAAAUCAUUCGAAGAUUCACUACGACUACUAUAAAAGUUGUUAAAGAAAAAAGAAAAACUGUUCUUUGGUCAAAAACGGCUUUUCAGUCACCUGACGUUAACUUUGUGCAUAAACGAAAUGAGACGCGACAUAAUAAUACAGAACUUUAAGUAUCAAACAGUCAUUUUCUGAAAGUGAUAUUAGUACUGAAACAGCUGUGAGUGAAAGUUAAAUGAAUGAAAACUCAUAGAAUGGUGCUUGUGCAAAGUACAGAAAAAAGCAAAUUUUUCUCACUUGAUGUCAGAUGAAGAGAAAAUAACAUCUGAUUUUUCAGUGUGUACGAAUAUUCACUACAAACUAUAUAAUGCAAAGAUUCUAUACUAUACUAUAUCAUACGAAGAUUGUUAAAGAAAAAAGAAAAACUGUUCUUUGGUCUAAAACGGCUUUUCAGUCACCUGACGUUAACUUUGUGCAUAAACCAAAUGAGACGCAACAUACUUUAAAAUCCCCAUACACAUAUUUUUCCAGAUAUAAUUGUGAGAACACGUUUAAUUAUAGCUGAUAAAACACAUAAUGUUUUCAAUAUUGACUUCAGAAAAUUGCAUGGACGCAUGUGCAGAAGAAAUAAAAAAAAUAUUGCAUUGCAUCUUAUCAUAUAAUAUUCCCCCUGAGUGAGAUUGCUCUUUUGGAAAAAAGAUGGACGAUGUAUUUGUGAUAGUUGUGCAACAGAAGAUAGUAAAAUCGAUGAGGUAAAAUGGUUUGACAAUCGAGCCGUUACUCUUCAAUGUACAUUUUUAUCAAAUAAUGAGCAGGACUUAGAAGUUAAAAAAUGGUGAAGGAAGGAUGUCAUCUUUACUGUUGUAGUUAGACCUGAAACUGCGAAGAUGGACGAUGUAUUUGUGAUAGUUAUGUAACAGAUGGUAAAAUCGCUGAGGUAAAAUGGCUUGACUAUCGAACUGUUACUCUAUAAUGUACAUUUUUAUCGAAUAAUGAGCAAGACCUAGAAGUUAGAAAAUGGUGAAGGAAGGAUGCCAUCUUUACUGUUGUAGUUAGACCUGAAACUGCGAAGAUGGACGAUGUAUUUGUGAUAGUUAUGUAACAGAUGGUAAAAUCGCUGAGGUAAAAUGGUUUGACAAUCGAAUUGUUACUCUAUAAUGUACAUUUUUAUCAAAUAAUGAGCAAGACCUAGAAGUUAGAAAAUGGUGAAGGAAGGAUGCCAUCUUUACUGUUGUAGUUAGACCUGAAACUGCGAAGAUGGACGAUGUAUUUGUGAUAGUUGUGUAACAAAAGAUGGUAAAAUCGCUGAGGUAAAAUGGUUUGACUAUCGAACUGUUACUCUAUAAUGUACAUUUUUAUCGAAUAAUGAGGAGGACCUAGAAGUUAAAAAAUGGUGAAGGAAGGAUGUCAUCUUUACGGUUGUAGUUAGGCCUGAAAUUGCGAAGUUCUACAAUAAAAAAUGAAAGGAAUGGACAAAUAUGACUUUCUAAUAUCACUGUGCCGGACUGCUAUAAAAAGCAGAGACUGGGCACUCCAUAUUAUGUUUCAAUACUUCAAUAAGGCUAUGAUAAACUCUCUGUUGGAGUACAAAGACGAUGCAACUUCUUAAGGAAUUCCUCUGAAAAAUCAAAUAUAUUUGCUGGAUUUUACGCUUGAUAUUGUAGAAACUCAAAAUCCUUUUCAAAGCAAUCAGCAUCUCCUACCAAACAUUGGAGGCAUCAUAUAGUGGCCCUAUUUUACGAACUUCAAAGAAAAAUUAAAUCAGCUUUUACGCCUGGCAAAAAUGUAUGAUAUAAUGGGCUAAAUCUUAUGACUGGAAGACGCCCAAAGCUACAGGGGGAGGGGGUGCAAAGUGUAAGGUUGUUCUUACAAGACUACUUGCAAACUGUAAGAUUGUUCUUACAAGAUUACUUGCAAACUGUAGUUAAAAUAGAUUUUCUCUCUCUACUUACUCUUCUACUUAACUUCUUCUUCUCUUUUUACUUAACUUUAGCCUAGUGUCCUACUAUUAAAACAUUUUUAAUAAGUGUGAUGAUUGGAAGAAUACUACAAUAUUUUAUAUUAAGAUGCUUACAUAUAAUGUAGCACAACCACUCAUUGAUUUUGUUUAUCUGUCCAAAUCAUAACUCAGGAUCGAAGAGGUUUUGAAUAUAGAAAUUUCAAUGUUUAUCUCUAAAAUUUUAGUAUCCUUUUGAUGUAUUUAUUAACUAAACAAGCGAAGCCAAAAUUAAACAAAUAAAGAAUUCAUCUCAAGCAAUUUUAAUUUAAAUUAUGAAUCAGAAAUAAAAUUGUUUGUUAAAAUUUUAUCUAAUUUUUUAUUCCUCACAUAUAU